UACGUAAGGGGCGAGCGUUGCUCGGAAUUACUGGGCGUAAAGGGCGCGUAGGCGGUUUUGUAAGUCAAAUGUCAAAGGCCACAGCUCAACUGUGGCAAGGCAUUUGAAACUGCGAAGCUAGAGUAUAGUGGAAGGCGAUGGAAUUCCCGGUGUAGCGGUGAAAUGCGUAGAUAUCGGAAGGAACACCGAAGGCGAAGGCAGUCGUCUAUGCUAAUACUGACGCUGAGGCGCGAAAGCAUGGGGAUCAAACAGG
Molecule: ribosomal RNA, 253 nt
Filed under: uncultured bacterium
Lineage: Bacteria
Description: partial 16S ribosomal RNA
Rfam family: Bacterial small subunit ribosomal RNA
Source: RNAcentral